RNAcentral lists this long non-coding RNA (1029 nucleotides) under Equus caballus (horse). RNAcentral describes it as "lncRNA (ENSECAG00000055826.1)". Lineage: Eukaryota; Metazoa; Chordata; Mammalia; Perissodactyla; Equidae. The record is from RNAcentral.
CUUGAAGAGCCCAGAAGGAGAUUAAUGACAAUGUGAAUGAAACUGAAGCUGAACAACCUCCUUGCUGAGAUUCUUCUAAGGUCCUCCAAGGGGCUACAGCAACACGUUCAAAAGUCACAGGUUUUUUUCUUUAACUUGCAAAAGGAGAACCAUAAGGAUGAAACCACCGUGCUUGGUCUUGGGCCUUUUAGCUCUUGUAGCAUGUUUCUCGCCUGGUGAGAGUCAAAGAGGCCUCAGGGGACCAUAUCCACCUGGACCACAGCCACCUCCACCUCCUCCUCCACCACCUGUUCCUUUUGGCCCAGAACUUGUUCCACCCCCUCCUCCACCCAAUGGUCCAGGAAGAAUUCCACCACCCCCUCCUCCUUACGGCUCAGGUUAUCCAUAUCCACCUUUCUAACCAAGACCUUAUCCACCUGGACCUCCACUGUUCCCUGCAUAGCCUUCGAUUUAUCCUCCCUUCUUUAAUUCAGCACUUCAAAUAUUAACUCCUACAAUGGUCUCCACUACAACCACAAUGGACCCCACUUCUCCCACAACUACUGCUUCUACUACUCAGAAUACACAACUGCUUCUACGACCCAAACUGAAAAUUAUCAGAGCCUUUUAGAUAAAAUCCUUUCCAUUUUUGGAUGAAGAUGAAAUGUUCCAAAAGCUCUGAGCUUUGGGGAGAAACAAUCUUAGAAAGAAAUUGUAAAACAACUCACACAAACAUUACGCCAAGAAAGUGAAAAUAAAAAGUUGAGCAACAAUAUGAAACCUCUAGUGUUGUCAUAAGAGCCAAGAGUUUGUCCCCAGUUAUGCCACUCAAAUGAAGAUACUGCUGCCAGAAGUCUGGCCUUGUACCAUGAGGCCAAAAACGGUAAUUAGGGAAAAAUAUAGCAAGAUAGCUGGACUUGUACUUAGGAUGACGAAGCUAGAAGAGGAAGCAACGGGAUGCCCUCUUGAGUACCACAAUCCAUCAUACAACUACAAAACACAAAAUAACAUGUUAAUAAAUAUCAAAAUUAAAUAAUCUUAGCUUUCCCC